This 1049-nucleotide ribosomal RNA is filed under the name uncultured bacterium. RNAcentral describes it as "bacterial SSU rRNA". It matches the Rfam family "Bacterial small subunit ribosomal RNA", at positions 66 to 1161 of the family's 1533-position model. The record is from RNAcentral.
ACGAAGUAGCAAUACUUAGUGGCAGACGGGUGAGUAACAUGUAGGUAUCUGCCCGUUGGCCUGGAAUAACACGAGGAAACUUGUGCUAAUACCGGAUAAGUCUUUACGGAGAAAGCUUUAUGCACCAUUGGAUGAGCCUGCACUUGAUUAGUUUGUUGGUGGGGUAAUGGCCUACCAAGACUGUGAUCAAUAGCUGAUUUGAGAGGAUGAUCAGCCACAUUGGGACUGAGACACGGCCCAAACUCCUACGGGAGGCAGCAGUGGGGAAUCUUGCACAAUGGAGGAAACUCUGAUGCAGCGAUGCCGCGUGAGUGAAGAAGGCCCUUGGGUUGUAAAGCUCUUUCGUCGGGGAAGAAAAUGACUGUACCCGAAUAAGAAGGUCCGGCUAACUUCGUGCCAGCAGCCGCGGUAAUACGAAGGGACCUAGCGUAGUUCGGAAUUACUGGGCUUAAAGAGUUCGUAGGUGGUUGAAAUAGUUGGUGGUGAAAUCCCAGAGCUUAACUCUGGAACUGCCAUCAAAACUUUUCAGCUAGAGUAUGAUAGAGGAAAGCAGAAUUUCUAGUGUAGAGGUGAAAUUCGUAGAUAUUAGAAAGAAUACCAAUUGCGAAGGCAGCUUUCUGGAUCAUUACUGACACUGAGGAACGAAAGCAUGGGUAGCGAAGAGGAUUAGAUACCCUCGUAGUCCAUGCCGUAAACGAUGUGUGUUAGACGUUGGAAAUUUAUUUUCAGUGUCGCAGGGAAACCGAUAAACACACCGCCUGGGGAGUACGACCGCAAGGUUAAAACUCAAAUGAAUUGACGGGGACCCGCACAAGUAGUGGAGCAUGUGGUUUAAUUCGAAGAUACGCGCAGAACCUUACCAACACUUGACAUGUUCGUCGCGACUCUAAGAGAUUAGAGUUUUCGGUUCGGCCGGACGAAACACAGGUGCUGCAUGGCUGUCGUCAGCUCGUGUCGUGAGAUGUUGGGUUAAGUCCCGCAACGAGCGCAACCCUCACUUUUAGUUGCCAUCAUUAAGUUGGGCACUCUGAAAGAACUGCCAGUGAUAA